UUCAGUUGACUCAAGUGUUUGGUAGGCGCGCAUGUGUGAUCCGUGUGAUUUGCCAGCUCAUUUAAUGAGCGUCAUCCAACGCUUCUCGUUUUUUGCCAUUUUUAUUUUCUGAUUUCAUUUUCUUUUUUAUUUCUUUAAUUCCAUUUUAUUUCCAAAAAUCACAUCUCCUUCAUUAUUGGUCCAAAAAAUGUGAGACCAAUUGCAUUUUUCUUCUUUUAAUUUCUAGUUUCUAAAAAUGAUUUUUAAUAUUUUUUAUUUUAUCAUUUGAUAUUUUUUAGGAAUUUUCUCUUUUCUGGUUAUUUUUAAUUCAUUUAAAAUAGUUUUUGAUAUUCAAA
This 335-nucleotide long non-coding RNA is filed under the name Lathyrus oleraceus (garden pea). RNAcentral's name for it is "Pisum sativum (pea) long non-coding RNA (PSAT_LNC000570)". Lineage: Eukaryota; Viridiplantae; Streptophyta; Magnoliopsida; Fabales; Fabaceae. The record is from RNAcentral.